CUGGAGCGAGAAGAUCUCAUGCUGUGACUCUACAAAGGGAAGCCCUUUCUGUUGUCUAAAAGAAAAGAAAGCGCUUCCCUUUGGUGGGUUACGGUUUGA
MicroRNA precursor from Pongo abelii (Sumatran orangutan), 99 nucleotides. NCBI's taxonomy places the organism in Eukaryota, Metazoa, Chordata, Mammalia, Primates, Hominidae. The record is from Ensembl.